UACGGAGGGAGCUAGCGUUGUUCGGAAUUACUGGGCGUAAAGCGCACGUAGGCGGCUUUGUAAGUUAGAGGUGAAAGCCCGGGGCUCAACUCCGGAAUUGCCUUUAAGACUGCAUCGCUUGAAUCCGGGAGAGGUGAGUGGAAUUCCGAGUGUAGAGGUGAAAUUCGUAGAUAUUCGGAAGAACACCAGUGGCGAAGGCGGCUCACUGGACCGGCAUUGACGCUGAGGUGCGAAAGCGUGGGGAGCAAACAGG
This 253-nucleotide ribosomal RNA is filed under the name uncultured bacterium. RNAcentral's name for it is "partial 16S ribosomal RNA". It matches the Rfam family "Bacterial small subunit ribosomal RNA", at positions 524 to 776 of the family's 1533-position model. The record is from RNAcentral.